GACUGGUCUGAGUGCAGUGGUGUUUAGUGUUUACAACUGAUCUCAAGCAGUUAGAGAUUCCUUUGUUCCUUCUCCACUCUCACUGCUUCACUUGACUAGCCUUAA
Molecule: unclassified non-coding RNA, 105 nt
Organism: Microcebus murinus (gray mouse lemur)
Lineage: Eukaryota; Metazoa; Chordata; Mammalia; Primates; Cheirogaleidae
Rfam family: Y RNA
About the family: Y RNAs are components of the Ro ribonucleoprotein particle (Ro RNP), in association with Ro60 and La proteins.
Source: Ensembl